GAUGAACGCUGGCGGCGUGCUUAACACAUGCAAGUCGAACGGUGAAGCAGGAGCUUGCUCUUGUGGAUCAGUGGCGAACGGGUGAGUAACACGUGAGCAACCUGCCCCUGACUCUGGGAUAAGCGCUGGAAACGGCGUCUAAUACUGGAUAUGUGAUGUGACCGCAUGGUCUGCAUCUGGAAAGAAUUUCGGUUGGGGAUGGGCUCGCGGCCUAUCAGCUUGUUGGUGAGGUAAUGGCUCACCAAGGCGUCGACGGGUAGCCGGCCUGAGAGGGUGACCGGCCACACUGGGACUGAGACACGGCCCAGACUCCUACGGGAGGCAGCAGUGGGGAAUAUUGCACAAUGGGCGGAAGUCUGAUGCAGCAACGCCGCGUGAGGGAUGACGGCCUUCGGGUUGUAAACUUCUUUUAGCAGGGAAGAAGCGAAAGUAACGGUACCUGCAGAAAAAGCACCGGCUAACUACGUGCCAGCCGCCGCCGUAA
Molecule: ribosomal RNA, 484 nt
Filed under: uncultured bacterium
Lineage: Bacteria
Description: partial 16S ribosomal RNA
Rfam family: Bacterial small subunit ribosomal RNA
Source: RNAcentral